AUACGGAGGGUGCAAGCGUUAAUCGGAAUUACUGGGCGUAAAGCGCACGCAGGCGGUUUGUUAAGUCAGAUGUGAAAUCCCCGGGCUCAACCUGGGAACUGCAUCUGAUACUGGCAAGCUUGAGUCUCGGAGAGGGGGGUAGAAUUCCAGGGGUAGCGGUGAAAUGCGUAGAGAUCUGGAGGAAGACCGGUGGCGAAGGCGGCCCCCUGGACGAAGACUGACGCUCAGGUGCGAAAGCGUGGGGAGCAAACAGGAUUAGAUCCCCUGGUAGUCCACGCCGUAAACGAUGUCGACUUGGAGGUUGUGCCCUUGAGGCGUGGCUUCCGGAGCUAACGCGUUAAGUCGACCGCCUGGGGAGUACGGCCGCAAGGUUGAAACUCAAAUGAAUUGGCGGGG
RNAcentral lists this ribosomal RNA (396 nucleotides) under uncultured bacterium. RNAcentral describes it as "partial 16S ribosomal RNA". It matches the Rfam family "Bacterial small subunit ribosomal RNA", at positions 523 to 918 of the family's 1533-position model. The record is from RNAcentral.